Molecule: ribosomal RNA, 1526 nt
Filed under: uncultured prokaryote
Description: partial 16S ribosomal RNA
Rfam family: Bacterial small subunit ribosomal RNA
Source: RNAcentral
GAGAGUUUGAUCCUGGCUCAGAACGAACACUGGCGGCGUGGAUUAGGCAUGCAAGUCGAACGAGAACGUUCUCUUCGGAGAACUAGUAGUGGCGAACGGGUGAGUAACGGGUGGAAAACCUGCCCUUCAAUGGGGGAUAACAGUUCUAACGAGCUGCUAAUACCGCAUACGACCUUCAGGCCUCCUGGUCUGAAGAUGAAAGGUGGCGACCUCUUCGGAGAGCUGCCGUUGAAGGAUGGUUCCGCCUCCCAUUAGCUUGUUGGUGGGGUAAUGGCCUACCAAGGCGACGAUGGGUAGCCGGCCUGAGAGGGUGUCCGGCCACACUGGGACUGAGAUACGGCCCAGACUCCUACGGGAGGCAGCAGUCGAGAAGCUUCGGCAAUGGGCGAAAGCCUGACCGAGCGAUGCCGCGUGAGCGAAGAAGGUUCUAUGAAUUGUAAAGCUCUGUCAGAUUGGGAAGAAAACCUUGCGGUUAAUACCCGUAAGGCUUGACGGUACCAUCAGAGGAAGCACCGGCUAACUCCGUGCCAGCAGCCGCGGUAAUACGGAGGGUGCAAGCGUUGUUCGGAUUCACUGGGUAUAAAGGGUGCGCAGGCGGCCUGAUAAGUCAGGGGUGAAAUAUGACGGCUCAACCGUCAAACUGCCCCCGAAACUGCGAGGCUUGAGUCCGUGAGAGGUAGGUGGAAUUCCUGGUGUAACGGUGAAAUGUGCAGAUAUCAGGAAGAACACCCGUGGCGAAGGCGACCUACUGGCGCGGAACUGACGCUGAGGCACGAAAGCUAGGGUAUCGAACGGGAUUAGAUACCCCGGUAGUCCUAGCCGUAAACGAUGUCUACUAGGGUGUCGGGGGUUCUACCCCCUCGGUGCCGCCGCUAACGCAUUAAGUAGACCACCUGGGGAGUACGAUCGCAAGGUUGAAACUCAAAGGAAUUGACGGGGGCCCGCACAAGCGGUGGAGCAUGUGGUUUAAUUCGAUGCAACGCGAAGAACCUUACCUGGACUUGACACUGGAAUCCCAUUUAAUUUUGGGAGUGCCCUUCGGGGAACUGGGUGACAGGUGCUGCAUGGCUGUCGUCAGCUCGUGUCGUGAGAUGUUGGGUUAAGUCCCGCAACGAGCGCAACCCUUACCUUUAGUUGCCAGCGGAUAAUGCCGGGGACUCUAGAGGAACUGCCGGUGUCAAGCCGGAGGAAGGUGGGGAUGACGUCAAGUCCUCAUGGCCCUUAUAGGCAGGGCUACACACGUGCUACAAUGGCCGGUACAGAGGGCAGCGAAGGGGUGACCUGGAGCGAACCUCAAAAGCCGGUCUCAGUUCGGAUUGGAGUCUGCAACUCGACUCCAUGAAGUCGGAAUCGCUAGUAAUCGCGGAUCAGCAUGCCGCGGUGAAUACGUUCCCGGGCCUUGUACACACCGCCCGUCACACCAUGGGAGUUGGUUUGACCCGACGUCGUCAGGCGAACCCGCGAGGGGCGCAGGCGCCGAAGGUCGGCGUCGCGAUUGGGGUGAAGUCGUAACAAGGUAGCCGUAG